Molecule: ribosomal RNA, 763 nt
Filed under: uncultured Streptococcus sp.
Lineage: Bacteria; Bacillati; Bacillota; Bacilli; Lactobacillales; Streptococcaceae
Description: bacterial SSU rRNA
Rfam family: Bacterial small subunit ribosomal RNA
Source: RNAcentral
GACGAACGCUGGCGGCGUGCCUAAUACAUGCAAGUAGAACGCUGAAGGAGGAGCUUGCUCCUCUGGAUGAGUUGCGAACGGGUGAGUAACGCGUAGGUAACCUGCCUGGUAGCGGGGGAUAACUAUUGGAAACGAUAGCUAAUACCGCAUAAGAGUAGAUGUUGCAUGACAUUUGCUUAAAAGGUGCAAUUGCAUCACUACCAGAUGGACCUGCGUUGUAUUAGCUAGUUGGUGGGGUAACGGCUCACCAAGGCGACGAUACAUAGCCGACCUGAGAGGGUGAUCGGCCACACUGGGACUGAGACACGGCCCAGACUCCUACGGGAGGCAGCAGUAGGGAAUCUUCGGCAAUGGACGGAAGUCUGACCGAGCAACGCCGCGUGAGUGAAGAAGGUUUUCGGAUCGUAAAGCUCUGUUGUAAGAGAAGAACGAGUGUGAGAGUGGAAAGUUCACACUGUGACGGUAUCUUACCAGAAAGGGACGGCUAACUACGUGCCAGCAGCCGCGGUAAUACGUAGGUCCCGAGCGUUGUCCGGAUUUAUUGGGCGUAAAGCGAGCGCAGGCGGUUAGAUAAGUCUGAAGUUAAAGGCUGUGGCUUAACCAUAGUACGCUUUGGAAACUGUUUAACUUGAGUGCAAGAGGGGAGAGUGGAAUUCCAUGUGUAGCGGUGAAAUGCGUAGAUAUAUGGAGGAACACCGGUGGCGAAAGCGGCUCUCUGGCUUGUAACUGACGCUGAGGCUCGAAAGCGUGGGGAGCAAACAGG